GGCGCGCUUCCAAUUCCCAAAUUGUGAAUGAAAGAUGUGAUUGGGUCUUGUUCUUCUCUCACUCCGACUCCCUCCACAAGUCCAACGACAUCCUCGCCUCCUCCGGCGACUACCUCCGCCUCUAGGAGGUCAAAGACUCCUCCGUUGAUCGCCUCGAGCCCAUAUCCGUCCUCAACAACACCAAGACCAGCGAAUUCUGUGCGCCGCUGACUUCAUUCGACUGGAACGAGAUCGAGCCUCGGCGAAUCGGAACCUCCAGCAUCGACACCACCUGUACGAUUUGGGACAUCGAGAAGGGAGUCGUUCGGACGCAGCUGAUCGCUCACGAUAAGGAGGUUUACGACAUUGCGUGGGGCGAAGCUAGGGUUUUCGCCUCCGUCUCCGCCGACGGGUCGGUGAGGAUUUUUGAUCUCCGACUCGUACCCAUCGACUCUGACUCCGACUCAGAUCUUCUCCUCUGCUCCUAUUGCCUUUUCCACUGCUCCUAUUUUCAAGGACCAGAAGAAGGAUCGACAAAUAAACGAUUGGCUUUUCGUAUUUCUGGAUCUGAUGGUGAUGUGCAGGUGAGGAAGAAGCUUUAUGUGCCACAAGUGGAGGACAAGAAUAGUCACAUGAGAAUGCUCAACAUCUCGUGUUGAUGAUCUGGUUGCGAAUUUGAUGGAUAUUUUAAAAGCGGCUGCGGUGGAUGCCGAUGGAAAUGAAUGCGAAGACUGUAUUUUACAGGCAAGGUGAUGAAGUUGAUUUGUUCCUCUAACCAGCAAAUCAUGCUCAAGUGAGGGAGGCAGAUCAAGCAGAAACACAAGCAAUGCAACUUGCAGAGUGAGUUGAUGGCUGCGAAGUCUAUUGGAGCUCAGCAAUGAGGAGUUAGAGAUAGUCAAAGCUGGUGCAGUUCAAAAAAUGAAGAGUUAGAGGCAGUGAAGGCUAGAGCCGCUGCACAAAAUGAAGAGUUGGAGGCACUAAAGGCAAGAAAAAAUCAUACCGACAUACUUUUACUUAAAUUGAUGGUGCUGUUAUCCUCCCAAAACUGAUGAUUGGUCUAAGAUUAAAAAAAGUACAUCUUGCAAACUAUCAUUGAAGGCCGCCUUAUUGAGCUUCUAGAAAGACUUGUAUGUAUUUCCAUUUAUUUUGAAAUUGCUAUUAAGGAUGGAUUGACAUUUGUAUAUUUUGGAUUUGCAAAUUUAAUUAGUAUUUCAGGAUAGAGAUACAUGUCUUAUAUUGUAUUGGAAUUGAAUAGUUUAA
Long non-coding RNA from Rosa chinensis, 1239 nucleotides. RefSeq lists it as uncharacterized. The record is from RefSeq and is a predicted model, not a curated record. Lineage: Eukaryota; Viridiplantae; Streptophyta; Magnoliopsida; Rosales; Rosaceae. The transcript has 6 exons.